RNAcentral lists this ribosomal RNA (597 nucleotides) under Staphylococcus aureus. RNAcentral's name for it is "partial 23S ribosomal RNA". It matches the Rfam family "Bacterial large subunit ribosomal RNA", at positions 851 to 1452 of the family's 2925-position model. The record is from RNAcentral. Lineage: Bacteria; Bacillati; Bacillota; Bacilli; Caryophanales; Staphylococcaceae.
GGUUCUCUCCGAAAUAGCUUUAGGGCUAGCCUCAAGUGAUGAUUAUUGGAGGUAGAGCACUGUUUGGACGAGGGGCCCCUCUCGGGUUACCGAAUUCAGACAAACUCCGAAUGCCAAUUAAUUUAACUUGGGAGUCAGAACAUGGGUGAUAAGGUCCGUGUUCGAAAGGGAAACAGCCCAGACCACCAGCUAAGGUCCCAAAAUAUAUGUUAAGUGGAAAAGGAUGUGGCGUUGCCCAGACAACUAGGAUGUUGGCUUAGAAGCAGCCAUCAUUUAAAGAGUGCGUAAUAGCUCACUAGUCGAGUGACACUGCGCCGAAAAUGUACCGGGGCUAAACAUAUUACCGAAGCUGUGGAUUGUCCUUUGGACAAUGGUAGGAGAGCGUUCUAAGGGCGUUGAAGCAUGAUCGUAAGGACAUGUGGAGCGCUUAGAAGUGAGAAUGCCGGUGUGAGUAGCGAAAGACGGGUGAGAAUCCCGUCCACCGAUUGACUAAGGUUUCCAGAGGAAGGCUCGUCCGCUCUGGGUUAGUCGGGUCCUAAGCUGAGGCCGACAGGCGUAGGCGAUGGAUAACAGGUUGAUAUUCCUGUACCACCUAUA